GCGACCAUGGUGUAAUGGUAGCAUGAGAGCCUGUGGAGCUUUAGGCGCGAGUUCGAUUCUCGCUGGUCGCC
This 71-nucleotide transfer RNA is filed under the name Candidatus Woesearchaeota archaeon. RNAcentral describes it as "tRNA-His". It matches the Rfam family "tRNA". Rfam says of the family: Transfer RNA (tRNA) molecules are approximately 80 nucleotides in length. The record is from RNAcentral. Lineage: Archaea; Nanobdellati; Candidatus Woesearchaeota.